CAAAAAGGCACAGCACACAAUUUCACAGCAAGCUGGAAACACAACUAACUAUCCACCUCCAGUUCCAAUAGGCUGACAUCUAUACUAAGAAGCCUGGAGCCAUUUCAGAAGAACAUAUACUGUGUACAGAAGGUGUCAGUGGAGGGGAAUUCCAGCCAUGAGCAGAGCAGUGGUGGUCUUCCAGCACUCUGAGCCACAGGAGAACACUGAGGACCUUGAAGACCCUGAUUUCUGUGUGGAUACUGAAGCUGGUGGAUCUCCAAAUGGACUGGUGUUGAUCUCCUGGUCAAAGUCACUGUCUGUCCACCCUACUGCCCAGGACCUGUGUCUUUUUGUCCUUGACCCUGAGUCUUCUGCUGGAUGUCAUGGUGCCUGUUUGACAGUAGCCCUAGGACGUCGUCAUUGUCCAGGUCCUCCUCCGAGACCGAGGUCAGGGUCCAUGUCCUGUCACUGUCCCUGGGUGACGUUUCCGCAUCAACCAGUCAAUGGCCAAAGACAACAGCAUAGGUGAUACAGGAUACCUCCCUGCUUGACUCUACCUUGAAUGGUUCAGUCAGCUCACUUGCACAGCAAUGCGGUGAUUACUGUGUUCUCCAUCUUUGAAGGUGCACUAAACUGGAUUUGUUCACGUGCUUUUACGCAUGCGCCUCAUUUCAGGACAGUUUACAGUUCACACUGGGGUCAGAUUUAGGUCACAUUCUAAGACAAAUGGGAACACACGUCUGAAAAAGUAAUUGAGCACAAAAGGGUACAGUCUGAACACAG
Molecule: long non-coding RNA, 765 nt
Organism: Clupea harengus (Atlantic herring)
Lineage: Eukaryota; Metazoa; Chordata; Actinopteri; Clupeiformes; Clupeidae
Source: Ensembl